UACGUAGGUGGCAAGCGUUGUCCGGAUUUACUGGGCGUAAAGGGCGUGCAGGCGGUCUGUUAAGUUCAGGGUGAAAGCUCCCGGCUCAACUGGGAGAGGUCCUUGGAUACUGGCAGACUUGAGGGAGGUAGAGGAGAGUGGAAUUCCCGGUGUAGUGGUGAUAUGCGUAGAUAUCAGGAGGAACACCGGUGGCGAAGGCGGGUCUCUGGGCAGUAACUGACGCUGAGGAGCGAAAGCGUGGGGAGCGAACAGG
Molecule: ribosomal RNA, 253 nt
Filed under: uncultured bacterium
Lineage: Bacteria
Description: partial 16S ribosomal RNA
Rfam family: Bacterial small subunit ribosomal RNA
Source: RNAcentral